RNAcentral lists this ribosomal RNA (253 nucleotides) under uncultured bacterium. RNAcentral's name for it is "partial 16S ribosomal RNA". It matches the Rfam family "Bacterial small subunit ribosomal RNA", at positions 524 to 776 of the family's 1533-position model. The record is from RNAcentral.
UACGUAGGGUGCGAGCGUUGUCCGGAAUUACUGGGCGUAAAGAGCUCGUAGGUGGUUUGUCGCGUUGUUCGUGAAAACUCACAGCUCAACUGUGGGCGUGCGGGCGAUACGGGCAGACUGGAGUACUGCAGGGGAGACUGGAAUUCCUGGUGUAGCGGUGGAAUGCGCAAAUAUCAGGAGGAACACCGGUGGCGAAGGCGGGUCUCUGGGCAGUAACUGACGCUGAGGAGCGAAAGCGUGGGGAGCGAACAGG